CGGGGGAGCAAGCGUUGUUCGGAUUACUGGGCGUAAAGGGCGCGUAGGCGGCCACCGCAAGUCGACUGUGAAAUCUCCGGGCUUAACCCGGAAAGGUCAGCCGAUACUGCGGGGCUAGAGUGCAGAAGGGGCAACUGGAAUUCUCGGUGUAGCGGUGAAAUGCGUAGAUAUCGAGAGGAACACCUGCGGCGAAGGCGGGUUGCUGGGCUGACACUGACGCUGAGGCGCGAAAGCUAGGGGAGCGAACGGGAUUAGAUACCCCGGUAGUCCUAGCCUUAAACGAUGAAUGCUUGGUGUCUGGGGUUUUAUAGUCCCCGGGUGCCGUCGCUAACGCUUUAAGCAUUCCGCCCGGGGAGUACGGUCGCAAGACUG
RNAcentral lists this ribosomal RNA (372 nucleotides) under uncultured organism. Its description in RNAcentral is "bacterial SSU rRNA". It matches the Rfam family "Bacterial small subunit ribosomal RNA", at positions 527 to 896 of the family's 1533-position model. The record is from RNAcentral.